GCCAGGAGCACUAUUGUGCACCUGUAGUCCCAGCUAUUUGGGAGGCUGAGGCAGGAGGAUCUCUUGAGCCCAGGAAUUUGAGGCCAGCCUGGACAAUAUGGUCUU
This 105-nucleotide small RNA is filed under the name Marmota monax (woodchuck). The record is from RNAcentral. Lineage: Eukaryota; Metazoa; Chordata; Mammalia; Rodentia; Sciuridae.